GCUAUACAUGCAGUCGAGCGGACAGAAGGGAGCUUGCUCCCGGAUGUUAGCGGCGGACGGGUGAGUAACACGUGGGUAACCUGCCUGUAAGACUGGGAUAACUCCGGGAAACCGGAGCUAAUACCGGAUAGUUCCUUGAACCGCAUGGUUCAAGGAUGAAAGACGGUUUCGGCUGUCACUUACAGAUGGACCCGCGGCGCAUUAGCUAGUUGGUGAGGUAACGGCUCACCAAGGCGACGAUGCGUAGCCGACCUGAGAGGGUGAUCGGCCACACUGGGACUGAGACACGGCCCAGACUCCUACGGGAGGCAGCAGUAGGGAAUCUUCCGCAAUGGACGAAAGUCUGACGGAGCAACGCCGCGUGAGUGAUGAAGGUUUUCGGAUCGUAAAGCUCUGUUGUUAGGGAAGAACAAGUGCAAGAGUAACUGCUUGCACCUUGACGGUACCUAACCAGAAAGCCACGGCUAACUACGUGCCAGCAGCCGCGGUAAUACGUAGGUGGCAAGCGUUGUCCGGAAUUAUUGGGCGUAAAGGGCUCGCAGGCGGUUUCUUAAGUCUGAUGUGAAAGCCCCCGGCUCAACCGGGGAGGGUCAUUGGAAACUGGGAAACUUGAGUGCAGAAGAGGAGAGUGGAAUUCCACGUGUAGCGGUGAAAUGCGUAGAGAUGUGGAGGAACACCAGUGGCGAAGGCGACUCUCUGGUCUGUAACUGACGCUGAGGAGCGAAAGCGUGGGGAGCGAACAGGAUUAGAUACCCUGGUAGUCCACGCCGUAAACGAUGAGUGCUAAGUGUU
This 792-nucleotide ribosomal RNA is filed under the name Bacillus altitudinis. RNAcentral's name for it is "bacterial SSU rRNA". It matches the Rfam family "Bacterial small subunit ribosomal RNA", at positions 48 to 824 of the family's 1533-position model. Lineage: Bacteria; Bacillati; Bacillota; Bacilli; Caryophanales; Bacillaceae. The record is from RNAcentral.